UGAGGAAUAUUGGUCAAUGGACGGAAGUCUGAACCAGCCAAGUAGCGUGCAGGAUGACGGCCCUAUGGGUUGUAAACUGCUUUUAUGCGGGGAUAAAGUGUGCCAUGUAUGGCAUUUUGUAGGUACCGCAUGAAUAAGGACCGGCUAAUUCCGUGCCAGCAGCCGCGGUAAUACGGAAGGUCCGGGCGUUAUCCGGAUUUAUUGGGUUUAAAGGGAGCGUAGGCCGGAGAUUAAGCGUGUUGUGAAAUGUAGUGGCUCAACCUCUGCACUGCAGCGCGAACUGGUCUUCUUGAGUACGCACAACGUGGGCGGAAUUCGUGGUGUAGCGGUGAAAUGCUUAGAUAUCACGAAGAACUCCGAUUGCGAAAGGCAGCUCACGGGAGCGCAACUGACGCUGAAGCUCGAAAGUGCGGGUAUCGACAGGAUUAGAUACCCUGGUAGU
Molecule: ribosomal RNA, 442 nt
Filed under: uncultured Prevotella sp.
Lineage: Bacteria; Pseudomonadati; Bacteroidota; Bacteroidia; Bacteroidales; Prevotellaceae
Description: bacterial SSU rRNA
Rfam family: Bacterial small subunit ribosomal RNA
Source: RNAcentral